CCUACGGGUGGCUGCAGUGGGGAAUAUUGGACAAUGGGCGAAAGCCUGAUCCAGCCAUGCCGCGUGUGUGAAGAAGGCCUUCGGGUUGUAAAGCACUUUCAGUGGGGAAGAAAGCCUUGGGGCUAAUACCCUCGAGGAAGGACAUCACCAACAGAAGAAGCACCGGCUAACUCCGUGCCAGCAGCCGCGGUAAUACGGAGGGUGCGAGCGUUAAUCGGAAUUACUGGGCGUAAAGCGCGCGUAGGCGGUCUGAUAAGCCGGUUGUGAAAGCCCCGGGCUCAACCUGGGAACGGCAUCCGGAACUGUCAGGCUAGAGUGCAGGAGAGGAAGGUAGAAUUCCCGGUGUAGCAGUGAAAUGCGUAGAGAUCGGGAGGAAUACCAGUGGCGAAGGCGGCCUUCUGGACUGACACUGACGCUGAGGUGCGAAAGCGUGGGUAGCAAACAGGAUUAGAUACCCCAGUAGUC
This 465-nucleotide ribosomal RNA is filed under the name Vreelandella stevensii. RNAcentral describes it as "partial 16S ribosomal RNA". It matches the Rfam family "Bacterial small subunit ribosomal RNA", at positions 338 to 795 of the family's 1533-position model. Lineage: Bacteria; Pseudomonadati; Pseudomonadota; Gammaproteobacteria; Oceanospirillales; Halomonadaceae. The record is from RNAcentral.